UUGUACCUACGGGGUUCAGCAGUGAUUCCUAUUUUUCCCUUUUCGAUAUCCUGAACCAGCCAAGCCGCGUGAGGGAAGACGGCCCUAUGGGUUGUAAACCUCUUUUGUCGGAGGACAAAACCCGGGACGUGUCCCGGACUGCGUGUAUCCGAAGAAAAAGCAUCGGCUAACUCCGUGCCAGCAGCCGCGGUAAUACGGAGGAUGCGAGCGUUAUCCGGAUUUAUUGGGUUUAAAGGGUGCGUAGGCGGUCCGUUAAGUCAGCGGUAAAAUUGCGGGGCUCAACCCCGUCGAGCCGUUGGAACUGG
RNAcentral lists this ribosomal RNA (305 nucleotides) under uncultured bacterium. Its description in RNAcentral is "bacterial SSU rRNA". It matches the Rfam family "Bacterial small subunit ribosomal RNA", at positions 333 to 636 of the family's 1533-position model. The record is from RNAcentral.